RNAcentral lists this unclassified non-coding RNA (279 nucleotides) under plant metagenome. RNAcentral describes it as "partial contains small subunit ribosomal RNA, internal transcribed spacer 1, and 5.8S ribosomal RNA". The record is from RNAcentral.
UCUCCGUUGGUGAACCUGCGGAGGGAUCAUUACCGAGUGCAAACCCAUCACCCCUUGUGAACCUAUAUCGUUGGCUUCGGCGGCUUGCUCCCGGGCGAGCCCGCCGGUACUAUCACCGUCCCUGUUUGAACCCGCCGAUACUCUUGACUUUUUUUAGCCAACAUUUUAAAUUUUUAACAACCGAACUCUUUGCUCUCGCAUCGCUUAAGUACGCCGCCGAUCGGGACCGCACACGACCGGAAUCCACCCACCAUGCAUCCCCUUGUAUGCCCUCUUCUU